RNAcentral lists this long non-coding RNA (407 nucleotides) under Olea europaea (common olive). RNAcentral's name for it is "long non-coding RNA (OEUR_LNC013051)". Lineage: Eukaryota; Viridiplantae; Streptophyta; Magnoliopsida; Lamiales; Oleaceae. The record is from RNAcentral.
GCUGUGGUGCCAUACCUGCAGCUUCCUUAUUAAUCUUCCUUUUCUUGUUGCUUUUGUCCUUAGAGGUGGUGGCUAAAUGAGCACUUUCUGUCUUUUCAUGCUUCAGUCUUUCCUCUUCCUGGACACAGUGUGAGAUGAGCUCAUUAAGGGACCAUGAGUCCUUUUGACAGUUGUAGCUCACCUUGAAUUGACUGAAAUGUGUCGGAAGGGAUAUCAGAACAAAGUGCACUAACAAGUCUUCAGAUAAAUCCAACUUGAGUGCCUUUAGUUUUGAAGCAAUGUGAGACAUUUCCAUAAUGUACUCCCGAAUGUUUCCUUUCCCUUUAUACCUCAUUGAGACAAGAUUUGCCAAAAGUGUACUUGUUUCAGCCUUUUCAGUCUUGGCAAACCUCUUCUCAAGGCCCUCA